CGGACGGUAUUUACCUUUAAACCUAAACGUAACGAUUACUCGGAAGGGAACGUCCGUCGGCCUACUAGAUAGUACUUAUCUAAGUAAAAGUUAAUUUCUAAUAAACUCAUAUAUUAUUCUUUUCCGUUUUCCCCCAAAUUUAAAUAAUUUUGACCUUUCACCUUUGGAAAUUUGUCUUGACAAAAAGAGACCGAGUCUUAAAAUCCCUAAAAGCCAUCCCAGUUCGGAUUGCAGGCUGCAACCCGCCUGCAUGAAGUUGGAAUCGCUAGUAAUCGCGGAUCAGCAUGCCGCGGUGAAUACGUUCCCGGGCCUUGUACACACCGCCCGUCAC
This 331-nucleotide ribosomal RNA is filed under the name uncultured bacterium. RNAcentral describes it as "partial 16S ribosomal RNA". It matches the Rfam family "Bacterial small subunit ribosomal RNA", at positions 1240 to 1400 of the family's 1533-position model. The record is from RNAcentral.